Otolemur garnettii (small-eared galago) is the source of this 91-nucleotide small nucleolar RNA. Its record names the gene SNORD116. It matches the Rfam family "Small nucleolar RNA SNORD116". From Rfam's summary of the family: HBII-85 is a member of the C/D class of snoRNAs, which contain the C (UGAUGA) and D (CUGA) box motifs. HBII-85 is encoded in a tandemly repeated array with another C/D snoRNA, HBII-52, in the Prader-Willi syndrome (PWS) region of chromosome 15. The record is from Ensembl. Lineage: Eukaryota; Metazoa; Chordata; Mammalia; Primates; Galagidae.
UCAUCGAUGAGGACUCCAAAGAAACAUUCUUUGGAAAGCUGAACAAAAUGAGUGAAAACUCUAUACCAUCAUCCUCAUCGAACUGAGGUCU